This is a long non-coding RNA of Cavia porcellus (domestic guinea pig), 3863 nucleotides long. RefSeq lists it as uncharacterized. NCBI's taxonomy places the organism in Eukaryota, Metazoa, Chordata, Mammalia, Rodentia, Caviidae. The transcript has 3 exons. The record is from RefSeq and is a predicted model, not a curated record.
CAGGUUGAAUAUCUAGGUGCAGAGUUGUUUGGUCUUGGGAUGAGUGUACGCUGACUUUGUAAGAAACUGCCAAACUACUUUUCACAGUGGUGGUACUAGUCAAGAUUCUGGCAGCAGUAUAGAAUUUGAAACACUUCACUCUAAACUCUGGCUGCUUUUACUGGCUGCUGUCUUGAUGUGUCUCCUCUCAGCCACACCAACCUGCCGUGGAGCCAGCUGAUUAUGGACUGAAACCUCCACAAACAGCUAAGUAAAUCUUUCAUUCCUUCAUUUUGGGUGUCAGAUAUAUCAUUCCAGCAACAAGAAAAAAGUAACCAGGACAGAAGGGAUCAAGUUCUUAAUAUCACCUAAAUAAGGUGCAGACUCAAAAAGAGGUGUUGGGCUCAAGAAAAGAUUUUCUACUACUAAAGCAUACAACAGUGUCGUAAAGAUUCAAGGUUAUGACAUCAUGCACCAGAAUAACAUAGUCUUGGUAUGCACAAAGCAGACAUAGAGCUCAUUAAAGAGAAAAAGGUGAAAUACUGUAGGAGCCAUGACAAAUGUGGAGGCCAGCAGAAUAAGGCUUGCAGCCCACUGCUGCUUAGUGACCCUGUGUUCUUCCCCUGGCGGAGCAGGAAGAGAGGCAGGUGUAAUUACACCCACGCACACUCAGCCUGUAGCUAGGUGGGGGCUCUGUUGUGAAGGAGGGACUGUUGAGUCAAGAAAAAAAAUAAACAAAUAAAACUCACAUUUAAAAUUAAACAAUACAAAACAAAAACAAAAACCUACCACUAGAAAAUUUUAAACAUUUUCCCUUUAAUAAAUCAUGAGUCAACGAGAAAACAGACACCUAAGUGGUCUUCGCAUGUGUGCAGGACGAGAGUGGGGCUUAUUCCGGUAGCUCCAUGCCCAGAUUGCUGCCUUUCAGCGGGUGCAUCCUUUCAGCUCUGGGAGAAGCCUCCUGUUUUACACAUCCUUCUCCCGCGGCUCUCAGCGCAUGAGCCUCCAAGUUUGGGCAUCAAUCAUUUGUCUCUUAACAAAUUAUUCCAAAGUAAUAGGAAAGGUGUAAAGGAAUGCACAUUUCGUUGCGUUGUGCACUUUCCCCUGCUUUCUUGGCGGCCUUACUGCCUGAACAAGUGCACUGGUAAUUGUAGUUUAAUUACUUCCUGUGCUGCCAUUAGGUAACCAUCAUGGUAACGGGGCACAGAUUUUGCUAUUACUUUUUUUUAACUUAGAAAUGGACCACAACAUCCCCCCCCCCGCACACACACACACACACACACACACACACACUAGUGUGUUUAUAGUUAAUGUGAUCAAAAAUACAGUAAGUGCUUAAUUUAUAUUAAAGAACAAUUUAUUGCAGUAAAAGACACAUUGCAAUGAACUUCCCUCAAAAUUCUGCCCCUUGUUUAAAAAAUGCUUAUUUGUCAUUCUUGCCUUGCUCUGAAGCUGCUCUGAAAGUCUUCUUUUAUUCCUUUAGUUGCACUAUUGUAGCUGCCUCAAUGUCCUGAAUAGAUUCAAAACACUAGGUCUUCUACGCAGUGUACAUGUCCAACAGAAGAUGCAUGGAUAAGGAAAAUGUGGCAUUUAUACACAGUAGAGUACUACAUUCCCAUGAAGAAGCAUAAACUUGAGAAAUUCGUAGGACGUUUUGACAUGAAAAGAGCCGGAAGUUACAUCGCGCUGGACCUGAGGAAGGAAGGCAUGAAGAUUCGCCUGUGUGUGUCUUUACCGCCUGCCUCUCCUCCAUGGCUCUCAGCCACAGCCUUUACUGAGUUUUUCAUCACCUUAUAAAGACACUCAGGAAACAGGACUUCUAGGGCCGCUCCAGAAAGUGACCAGAACAAUGGGAUAAACGUGUUCAAAGUGAGGCCAAGUCUUUUGAGCGAUUCCUGGCAAUGCGUCUUUUACUAAGUUUACUGUUAGGUGUGCAGAUUAUUAUCAGCGUGUGCGAUUUAUUAGUACACAGUUCUUUUCUUUCUUUUUUUUGUCUUUUUUCCUUUUUAUCGGUACCAGGGAUCGAACUCACGACUGCCUGCUUGCAAGGCAGGCGCUUAUGCAGCUGAGCUAAAUCCCCAGCCCCUUAUUAGUACACAGUUGUCUUCCGACCUCUCCCAGUUAGCUUUUAGCACACUUAAAUUUGGUCUGCUGCUACUUGCUUAGUGCAGUUCUCAAUAAAUCCUGUUGAAGAAAAGAAAAUUAUUUUGAAUUCUAAAUCUGUGCAAUUGGCCAACAGCUCAGCCCAUGUUGGUUUCUAGUCCUUAUUUAGGGUUCUGGGGGACUAGUUUGACCUCACUGACCUAGGUUUCCAGACUCUGUUUCCUCUCCCAUUUGAUUGAUAAAUACUUUCCUAUAGGAGGCCAAACACCUCACUGUCAGUGCCUUCUAGGUCCAACCAGGAGAGCUGUGCAAAAUUCGUGUCAAGAAGGUUGUGACUUUCAAAAUACUUUCCUUUCUAGAGGCUGUUAUCUGUGACACUAAUUUUACUCUGAGUGGGAUGGGCAGAAUCUUUGGCACAGAGGCCUGUCGGAGUCACACUGCCAUGCUGCAUCUCUGGUCUUUGAGGCACAAUUUUCCUGGCAAGAGAGACCCAGGUUCCUGUCGGUGUCUCCUGGCCCGCGGGCACCUUCUGAUGGGGACUGUGCGAGGGAGGAGGCAGAGCUUCCCCGUUUCCGGAGGAACAGGACUGGGGCUGCUCUCACCGCCCUUCCAGGGAGCUAAAUAUAUUUGCCACUGGUGAGCUGUUUGUAAUUAAUGUGUGCUUUGUGGUUUUAAUCUUUCUUUAAUCUGCAAAGCUAUAAAAAUUUACAGCACAAUUUUAGAAUCAAGAAAAAGCUAAGUUGCCUGGUAGAGUCCUUAAAGAUACCCUGUUUUCCUAGAUCAAAACUGCCAGGGGUGGUGCAGGAAGGCUCUUCCUGAGCUGUCCUGCUGGCUUCUCUUGGUGGUCUUGUUUUGGCCCUACCCAGGAGUCAUCGGAAGCAGGAGAAUCAUCUCUCCAAAGAAAAUAAACAAUACAGUGUGUGCCAUAUAAAACGAAGGGAAGAAAAGAACAUCUUAGGUAAAUACCAGACUACUUAUUUUAUGAUUUUUAAAUGUCAUUUUUGCUCCAAUAUUGACUUUUUAUGGAGGAUGAAUUAUAGAUCUGUAGUGCGGGGGAGAUGGGUUUCUUUUUCUUUGACGCAGCCGGUCAAGUUAAGCAUUGAAGUCUGGUAAUUAGUUAGGAGUUUCUUAGCCCACUGAGAAAACUGGGAGGUGACCCUCGGGAGAAGACAAUACACCCAGGAAAGAGCCAGAAUGGGCCAGAAAGAAGCACAAAACAACAUCCCAAUCUUGUUGCUACAAACAGAUGUUGCCGCGGGCACUUGCCUGCAAGAACAAAAUACAAUACCGAUCCCUCGCGUGUCUGACUGGGUUUCUGUCUCUGAAAAGGAGUUUGGAGGCAAAUUAUUUCAGGGUUGUAAGGGCUGGUAAAAGGCAGGGAGAUUGGAAGUGCUUGUCAUCUUUGGUGACCUAAGGUCUCAGAAAUGAGGCUGAGAGAAGCAAAAGGGGUUGAGCUGGGGUCAAGGGGAGACCUGGAACCAGCAGUGGGGUCAAAGGAUGGCGGAGACAACCACAUUUCCAAGCAAAGUUUUCAAAAACCUAGCUAGAAGGAGCAGAUCUGAACUGAGGUUUCUGGAGGGCAGUCACAGGAGGCUAAAGGGGAAAGAAAGAGAGAGAAAACCGAGUUAGUCCCCCCCUGCCCUGCCCUCCACUCGGAUUUUGAUUGUUCUCUUACUGUCUAUGUACAAGACAUGCAGACUUAAAGCAAUGUAGAUUGAAUUAGUUCAAUUCAAUUUACAUAGACAAAAAGAAGUUAAUUCAGACAAAGGGGUUAGGAUUCA